This is a transfer RNA of Trichosporon asahii var. asahii CBS 8904, 116 nucleotides long. It matches the Rfam family "tRNA". Rfam says of the family: Transfer RNA (tRNA) molecules are approximately 80 nucleotides in length. Their secondary structure includes four short double-helical elements and three loops (D, anti-codon, and T loops). NCBI's taxonomy places the organism in Eukaryota, Fungi, Basidiomycota, Tremellomycetes, Trichosporonales, Trichosporonaceae. The record is from Rfam.
GGGCGUGUAGCUCAGUUGGUAGAGCGCGUCAUUAGCAAGCCCACCAGCAGCCCUUGCGAGCUGCUCGAAAGCAUGUUACAUUGACGAGGUCUUUGGUUCGAUUCCUAACUCGUCCA